RNAcentral lists this transfer RNA (69 nucleotides) under Epermenia illigerella. RNAcentral describes it as "tRNA-Trp". The record is from RNAcentral. Lineage: Eukaryota; Metazoa; Arthropoda; Insecta; Lepidoptera; Epermeniidae.
AAGGUUUUAAGUUAAAAUAAAACUAAUAAUCUUCAAAAUUAUAUAUAAAGAAAAUUUCUUUAAGCCUUA